CGGAGCUAAUACCCGAUAACAUUUGGAACCGCAGGGUUCUAAAGUGAAAGAUGGUUUUGCUAUCUCUUAUAGAUGGACCCGCGCCGUAUUAGCUAGUUGGUAAGGUAACGGCUUACCAAGGCGACGAUACGUAGCCGACCUGAGAGGGUGAUCGGCCACCCUGGAACUGACACACGGUCCAGACUCCUACGGGAGGCAGCAGUAGGGAAUCUUCCGCAAUGGGCGAAAGCCUGACGGAGCAACGCCGCGUGAGUGAUGAAGGGUUUCGGCUCGUAAAACUCUGUUAUUAUGGAAGAACAAAUGUGUAAGUAACUGUGCACAUCUUGACGGUACCUAAUCAGAAAGCCACGGCUAACUACGUGCCAGCAGCCGCGGUAAUACGUAGGUGGCAAGCGUUAUCCGGAAUUAUUGGGCGUAAAGCGCGCGUAUGCGGUUUCUUAAGUCUGAUGUGAAAGCCCACCGCUCUACCGUGCAGGGUCAUUGGAAACUGGGAAACUUGAGUGCACAAGAGGAGAGUGUAAUUCCAUGUGUAUC
This 534-nucleotide ribosomal RNA is filed under the name Staphylococcus xylosus. RNAcentral's name for it is "bacterial SSU rRNA". It matches the Rfam family "Bacterial small subunit ribosomal RNA", at positions 158 to 679 of the family's 1533-position model. Lineage: Bacteria; Bacillati; Bacillota; Bacilli; Caryophanales; Staphylococcaceae. The record is from RNAcentral.